GAUCAUGGCUCAGGAUGAACGCUGGCGGCGUGCCUAACACAUGCAAGUCGAGCGAAGCACUUUGCUUAGAUUCUUCGGAUGAAGAGGAUUGUGACUGAGCGGCGGACGGGUGAGUAACGCGUGGGUAACCUGCCUCAUACAGGGGGAUAACAGUUAGAAAUGACUGCUAAUACCGCAUAAGACCACAGCACCGCAUGGUGCGGGGGUAAAAAACUCCGGUGGUAUGAGAUGGACCCG
RNAcentral lists this ribosomal RNA (237 nucleotides) under uncultured bacterium. RNAcentral's name for it is "partial 16S ribosomal RNA". It matches the Rfam family "Bacterial small subunit ribosomal RNA", at positions 15 to 233 of the family's 1533-position model. The record is from RNAcentral.